Small nucleolar RNA from Solea solea (common sole), 201 nucleotides. RefSeq annotates it as small nucleolar RNA SNORA53. The record is from RefSeq and is a predicted model, not a curated record. The transcript has a single exon. Lineage: Eukaryota; Metazoa; Chordata; Actinopteri; Pleuronectiformes; Soleidae.
AACACGCUCCUUAGAUCCACCUCUGGAGGGCGCUGUUCUCAGAGCAGUGCUCCUCAGCAGCUUUCUGGCUGUACAGUUGGAGGUGCUUGAGUCAUUGGCGUGUGAGAACAGUCUACCUGUCCUCCAGCUCACCUGCAUCACUGGCAGCUGUCCUUUACAGACGGUCGUCUCCCAGUGCUGCAAACCUGGAGGACGGACACA